CCUACGGGUGGCAGCAGUGGGGAAUAUUGCACAAUGGGGGAAACCCUGAUGCAGCGACGCCGCGUGAGUGAAGAAGGAUUUCGGUAUGUAAAGCUCUAUCAGCAGGGAAGAAAUAAAGUCCGUCGGACUGUGGACGGUAGCGGACUAAGAAGCCCCGGCGAACUACGUGCCAGCAGCCGCGGGAAUACGUAGGGGGCAAGCGUUAUCCGGCUUUACUGGGUGGAACGGGAGCGUAGACGGCAGCGCAAGUCUGGAGUGAAAGCCCAUGGCGUAACCCUGGAACGGCUUUGGAAACUGUGCAGCUGGAGUGCAGGAGCGGUAAGCGGAAUUCCUAGUGUAGCGGUGAAAUGCGUAGAUAUUAGGAGGAACCCCAGUGGCGAAGGCGGCUUACUGGACUGUACCUGACGUUGCGGCUC
RNAcentral lists this ribosomal RNA (416 nucleotides) under uncultured bacterium. RNAcentral describes it as "partial 16S ribosomal RNA". It matches the Rfam family "Bacterial small subunit ribosomal RNA", at positions 338 to 754 of the family's 1533-position model. The record is from RNAcentral.